This 605-nucleotide ribosomal RNA is filed under the name Escherichia coli. RNAcentral's name for it is "partial 23S ribosomal RNA". It matches the Rfam family "Bacterial large subunit ribosomal RNA", at positions 2194 to 2798 of the family's 2925-position model. The record is from RNAcentral. Lineage: Bacteria; Pseudomonadati; Pseudomonadota; Gammaproteobacteria; Enterobacterales; Enterobacteriaceae.
GAAAUACCACCCUUUAAUGUUUGAUGUUCUAACGUGGACCCGUGAUCCGGGUUGCGGACAGUGUCUGGUGGGUAGUUUGACUGGGGCGGUCUCCUCCUAAAGAGUAACGGAGGAGCACGAAGGUUGGCUAAUCCUGGUCGGACAUCAGGAGGUUAGUGCAAUGGCAUAAGCCAGCUUGACUGCGAGCGUGACGGCGCGAGCAGGUGCGAAAGCAGGUCAUAGUGAUCCGGUGGUUCUGAAUGGAAGGGCCAUCGCUCAACGGAUAAAAGGUACUCCGGGGAUAACAGGCUGAUACCGCCCAAGAGUUCAUAUCGACGGCGGUGUUUGGCACCUCGAUGUCGGCUCAUCACAUCCUGGGGCUGAAGUAGGUCCCAAGGGUAUGGCUGUUCGCCAUUUAAAGUGGUACGCGAGCUGGGUUUAGAACGUCGUGAGACAGUUCGGUCCCUAUCUGCCGUGGGCGCUGGAGAACUGAGGGGGGCUGCUCCUAGUACGAGAGGACCGGAGUGGACGCAUCACUGGUGUUCGGGUUGUCAUGCCAAUGGCACUGCCCGGUAGCUAAAUGCGGAAGAGAUAAGUGCUGAAAGCAUCUAAGCACGAAACUUGCC